UCUGUGAUGCCCUUAGAUGUUCUGGGCUGCACGCGCGCUACACUGAUGCAUCCAACGAGUUCACCUUUUUUGGAAAGAAUGGGUAAUCCUUUGAGUAUGCAUCGUGAUGGGGCUAGAUUAUUGCAAUUAUUAAUCUUAAACGAGGAAUUCCUAGUAAGCGUGAGUCAUCAGCUUGCGCUGAUUACGUCCCUGCCCUUUGUACACACCGC
This 209-nucleotide ribosomal RNA is filed under the name uncultured eukaryote. RNAcentral describes it as "partial 18S ribosomal RNA". It matches the Rfam family "Eukaryotic small subunit ribosomal RNA", at positions 1461 to 1672 of the family's 1831-position model. The record is from RNAcentral.